This 233-nucleotide ribosomal RNA is filed under the name uncultured bacterium. RNAcentral describes it as "partial 16S ribosomal RNA". It matches the Rfam family "Bacterial small subunit ribosomal RNA", at positions 29 to 291 of the family's 1533-position model. The record is from RNAcentral.
AACGAACGCUGGCGACAGGCUUAACACAUGCAAGUCGAGCGCCCCGCAAGGGGAGCGGCAGACGGGUGAGUAACACGUGGGAAUCUACCCAUCCCUACGGAACAACUCCGGGAAACUGGAGCUAAUACCGUAUACGUCCUUUUGGAGGAAGAUUUAUCGGGGAUGGAUGAGCCCGCGUCCGAUUAGCUAGUUGGUGGGGUAAAGGCCUACCAAGGCGACGAUCGGUAGCUGGU